This 1447-nucleotide ribosomal RNA is filed under the name uncultured organism. Its description in RNAcentral is "SSU rRNA". It matches the Rfam family "Bacterial small subunit ribosomal RNA". The record is from RNAcentral.
UGAACGCUAGCUACAGGCUUAACACAUGCAAGUCGAGGGGCAUCAGGAAGAAAGCUUGCUUUCUUUGCUGGCGACCGGCGCACGGGUGAGUAACACGUAUCCAACCUGCCCUUUACUCGGGGAUAGCCUUUCGAAAGAAAGAUUAAUACCCGAUGGCAUAAUGAUUCCGCAUGGUUUCAUUAUUAAAGGAUUCCGGUAAAGGAUGGGGAUGCGUUCCAUUAGGUUGUUGGUGAGGUAACGGCUCACCAAGCCUUCGAUGGAUAGGGGUUCUGAGAGGAAGGUCCCCCACAUUGGAACUGAGACACGGUCCAAACUCCUACGGGAGGCAGCAGUGAGGAAUAUUGGUCAAUGGGCGCUAGCCUGAACCAGCCAAGUAGCGUGAAGGAUGAAGGCUCUAUGGGUCGUAAACUUCUUUUAUAUAAGAAUAAAGUGCAGUAUGUAUACUGUUUUGUAUGUAUUAUAUGAAUAAGGAUCGGCUAACUCCGUGCCAGCAGCCGCGGUAAUACGGAGGAUCCGAGCGUUAUCCGGAUUUAUUGGGUUUAAAGGGAGCGUAGGUGGACUGGUAAGUCAGUUGUGAAAGUUUGCGGCUCAACCGUAAAAUUGCAGUUGAUACUGUCAGUCUUGAGUACAGUAGAGGUGGGCGGAAUUCGUGGUGUAGCGGUGAAAUGCUUAGAUAUCACGAAGAACUCCGAUUGCGAAGGCAGCUCACUGGACUGCAACUGACACUGAUGCUCGAAAGUGUGGGUAUCAAACAGGAUUAGAUACCCUGGUAGUCCACACAGUAAACGAUGAAUACUCGCUGUUUGCGAUAUACAGUAAGCGGCCAAGCGAAAGCAUUAAGUAUUCCACCUGGGGAGUACGCCGGCAACGGUGAAACUCAAAGGAAUUGACGGGGGCCCGCACAAGCGGAGGAACAUGUGGUUUAAUUCGAUGAUACGCGAGGAACCUUACCCGGGCUUAAAUUGCAGUGGAAUGAUGUGGAAACAUGUCAGUGAGCAAUCACCGCUGUGAAGGUGCUGCAUGGUUGUCGUCAGCUCGUGCCGUGAGGUGUCGGCUUAAGUGCCAUAACGAGCGCAACCCUUAUCUUUAGUUACUAACAGGUCAUGCUGAGGACUCUAGAGAGACUGCCGUCGUAAGAUGUGAGGAAGGUGGGGAUGACGUCAAAUCAGCACGGCCCUUACGUCCGGGGCUACACACGUGUUACAAUGGGGGGUACAGAAGGCAGCUAGCGGGUGACCGUAUGCUAAUCCCAAAAGCCUCUCUCAGUUCGGAUCGAAGUCUGCAACCCGACUUCGUGAAGCUGGAUUCGCUAGUAAUCGCGCAUCAGCCACGGCGCGGUGAAUACGUUCCCGGGCCUUGUACACACCGCCCGUCAAGCCAUGGGAGCCGGGGGUACCUGAAGUACGUAACCGCAAGGAUCGUCCUAGGGUAAAACUGGUGACUGGGG